Molecule: microRNA precursor, 65 nt
Filed under: Taeniopygia guttata (zebra finch)
Lineage: Eukaryota; Metazoa; Chordata; Aves; Passeriformes; Estrildidae
Description: Tgu-Mir-15-P2c_pre stem-loop
Rfam family: mir-16 microRNA precursor family
About the family: The hairpin precursors (represented here) are predicted based on base pairing and cross-species conservation -- their extents are not known. In this case the mature sequence is excised from the 5' arm of the hairpin.
Source: RNAcentral
UAGCAGCACGUAAAUACUGGAGUUUGGGAUUGCCUGUUGCUCUCCAGUAUUGCAUUGCUGCUUUA